GGCCGAGAGGGGGGGUGCGACCCUCGGGGCCGCGGGAGGUUUCCCCCGGCCGCGCGAAGCCACCACCGAGAGGAGCGUCUCCCAGAGAGGCCGGAAGCCGGAGGCUUCCGCCCUCGGUGGCUACGCCGCUUCCGGCCGGAUGGGGUGGUCGCGGUGAGGCCGGUGCGCUCCCCGAGGGCCGGCCCGGCGGCCCGGGCUGAUGUCCGCAGCGCCCGGGUCUCACGUCUCUCCGGCUGCUGCCGAGGUUUAGGAACGGAGUUCCGAGAUGAAGGCGGCGGCGCCGGGAAGACGCCGGUUUGGGAGCAGCAGGUUUGACGUCAGAAUUCACCGGCAUCGCCCGUUUUCCUUCGGAAUUCGUAUUUCCGUGCUUCACUUGGUGGGUUUCCAGAUGAUGGGUCAGCUUUAACCCCAGUAAAGCCUUCAGCAGCCUUUCGCAUUUGUGUACGCUAAUGACUCGUCUUGGCUCAGGAGUAGCCCGAAAAACACCCCCAAAGCCAGUCUCCCCGAAGCAGAGCCUACCACAUACUCCAGCCUGUGCCCUAAUACGUGUUGACUCGGUGACAGCCCGCAGUGGCUGCAGCCUUGGCUCCCGACCCUGAAAGAGCAGGACCGCGCUUGGAGCCAAGAAUGUGUGCUGUGCCGGAAGAACCCCCAACAACCAGGACGUAGCCACUGCUGCUCCUGACUUUGGGCGUUUCUGUUACCUGGGGACGCCUGCACCCUGGGAGGCCUCUGCCCCAACUCUAGGACCUCUGGCGGCAGUGGCGGAUGUCCCGCCGAGGAGCAGAUCCUGACCAUCGUGCCCGCGGAGCUCCAGGCCCGGGUGUUAGAGCAUCAGCCAGAGAGCAGGGAGGAGGCGGCGAUCCCGUGGGGGCUUUGCAGAGAGAGCUCCACGAAACAGGUUGUAGCCAGGACAGGUGGAAUAGGAGUGUGUUCAGAAUUUCCUCACCAGGCAGCACAGAAGCCACCAGCUAUUCUAGGCCAAGAAACAUGUAGCCUUCCAGGCCAUUCGUGAACAAGGUAAGCGUCAGGAUCCAUCUUGAGAGAGGGUGGCUGAAAGCUGUGCCAGCUAUCUAGGUUGAAAAGCAUUCGGAACACCUGAAACAGAAACACGGUGCUGAAUCCAACUGAGUAUCUGUCCUCUCAAGUACAGCAUUCCAGCUUGGGCAGCACUAGCAGAGGACGUGAUACGGAAUAACAUAACGCUGUCGUCCCUGUUAUCUGACUCGUGAGGAAGCUGCACAGCAUUCCUAACCUCACUGAACAACCUUUUCAGACUGCUCUCAUAAAGUUUAUCUUUACUUAAAGCUAUUUAUGUUUUCAUCAUAUGUAAUCAUAGCCUAACCUCCACUGUACAUUUAGUACUUGCUCUGUAAAGCAGAACUCACUCUUUUGUAUUAAAAUGACCUUUUCUGAA
Molecule: long non-coding RNA, 1417 nt
Organism: Panthera uncia (snow leopard)
Lineage: Eukaryota; Metazoa; Chordata; Mammalia; Carnivora; Felidae
Exons: 3
Source: RefSeq, a predicted model, not a curated record